Molecule: long non-coding RNA, 1127 nt
Filed under: Homo sapiens (human)
Lineage: Eukaryota; Metazoa; Chordata; Mammalia; Primates; Hominidae
Description: HSALNT0220472
Source: RNAcentral
UGGAGCUACUGCAGGUUUCGGAGGAGGGAUGUGGCAUGUGUUUUCAUAGUUUGAUCACAGAAUGCAGCAGUUCAAUUGGAUUCUGGAACAUAGGCCAGUUGGAUCUAUAGAAGAUAGAUGGUUGUGGUGGAGAUUGCCAGGUGUCUCACGCCAGCCAAAGAAACAUUUGCUAUCUGCCAUUUCUACAAAUUGGCUACUAAAAAAGGAAGCAGCAUUUGGAUAAGCUGGUACUUUCAGCACAGUAACUCUUGAAACACAGAACUUCUUGGGUGUACAUUUGGAGGAAAGUUGAUCUGGAGCCUAUGGAGUGUCAUUGGAGCUGGGUGUAGAUGUUUUUGAUGUCAUUGAGCAUCAGGCAUUGUCUAGAGUCUCCAAAUUUUAUGUCAUGUUCUCUGUGGAAAUUGCAGCAAACAGGCACACGAUGUUUUGAAUAGAAUCAGCCUCCUUGUGAAUUGCACUUCUUAAGGGUCAGCAUCUGAGAAAUUGCAGAGCAUGUCAAAUGGAUUUUUCGGGAUUGCUGCAAUGUCCUGAAUUUGGUUCAGUGAGGGGCCACAAAAUGUCCUGGUAGAAGAGAGAGUAUAGCUGGAAGUGGCAGCAAAAUUGACCACAUCCUGGAAUAACUGUGCUUCCAGGAGAGUUCUGAUGCAGAUUGGAUGAAAGUGUCAUGCAGAUUUUAGAUUCUCACUACCAAUCAGUUAACAACAAUGGCCUUCAAAAGUUAUCAGGAGAGAACUGAGACAAUAAGGAUUCAAAGCUGCUAGUAGCCACUGGGAGGUCACAUCAAUCUCCUUAGAAAACAGUAAAAAUGGGAUUCAUUUGUCUCAUUUAUUCAUUCUUUUAACAAAUCUUUAUUUAGUCUAUAGCUACGAUGGCCUUGAGGACAAAAAUAAGAGCAGUUAAAACACUUUGGCUAGUUGGGGAAAGAGGAUAAGGCAGGAAAAAAGGAUGGAGUCAGAAGUGAUCUGGAGCCUGCUUAGGCUAAUGACAGUGUAUCUUUGAAUCAUCCCUUACAUCUUGCCAGCCAUUAAAUCCCGUAUUUAUUCCUUGAGAAGUUCUUGCAAGUACAUUAAUUUCUCCUUGUUUUGCCCACUACCACAUUAGUCCACAUCCAUCUAUACUUUACGCCU